UUUGGCUUUUGUCUGCAGGUCUCGAAAAUUCCAAGGAUGCACGUAAUGGAGGGGCUCAAACUGAUUUAAUUGUUGGAACAACUGCACAACCAAAACUUGAUGUUGGUUUUUCCGGGAAAAGCACUGUUGUUGUUUCUACUGGCUGUUCAUCUAAAAGGUUCUUGUCUUCCUUCUUUAGAGGAUGGGUCAUGGGCGUUAUAUCUCAGUUAGAGGAUGGCCAUUUCUACUUGGAAGACGUCACUGGAGCAGUUGAAAUCAAUUUGUCUAAUGCAAUAUCCUCUACAUGUUUAUAUUUUUCCCUUUCGAAAGACUUAUUGUUUGUUUUGAAUGCUUGGAUUUGGGCUGCCCUAUAAUCUCCAAAAGCGAAAGUUCUCAUUGUAGGCCUUUUUAAAUAAUGGAAAAUAAUGGUGAAUUUUAGAUUUUA
Molecule: non-coding RNA, 424 nt
Organism: Camellia sinensis
Lineage: Eukaryota; Viridiplantae; Streptophyta; Magnoliopsida; Ericales; Theaceae
Source: RefSeq, a predicted model, not a curated record